Chlorocebus sabaeus (green monkey) is the source of this 3031-nucleotide non-coding RNA. Lineage: Eukaryota; Metazoa; Chordata; Mammalia; Primates; Cercopithecidae. The record is from RefSeq and is a predicted model, not a curated record.
CCUUCUGUGCCCUGUGGCAGCUGUGCUGUGGCUGACGAAAGCCAGGACCCUGCCUUGUCCCGUCCCGGAGGUGCAGCUCCUCUGGGCUUGCACAGGCUUGGGAGGAGCCCUGUGUGGGUCUGCACCGCCCUCCCCGAACCCUCUGUCCCUCUGUGCCUGCAGGCCCGUCCCGGGGUCUCACUGACCCUCAACACUCCAUGCUGUGAGGCUGGGUGGCCUGGACCCCUAGGCUGUGGCGGAGGUGCCCACCAUGCCUGGCGGAGAUGUUGCUGGUCUCUUUCUGUGAUGAGGAGCAUGGGAGGUUGGGUGCUGUCUGCUGGCAACACAGCCACGCGUGGGAUCCAGACUGCUUCUGUGUGUGCAGUCCGUGGUCACUGUGGCCAGGUGUGCUCAGGGUUGUCAGGCCCUCCGUGUGCCCACCCCAAGGACGUCCUCUCCCUGCAGACUACGUCUACUUCGAGAACUCCUCCAGCAACCCAUACCUGAUCCGGAGGAUUGAGGAGCUCAACAAGACGGCCAAUGGGAACGUGGAGGCCAAGGUGGUGUGCUUCUACCGGAGGCGGGACAUCUCCAGCACCCUCAUCGCCCUGGCCGACAAGCACGCAACCCUGUCAGUCUGCUAUAAGGCCGGACCGGGGGCGGACAACGGCGAGGAAGGGGAAAUAGAAGAGGAAAUGGAGAAUCCGGAAAUGGUGGACCUGCCCGAGAAACUAAAGCACCAGCUGCGGCAUCGGGAGCUGUUCCUCUCCCGGCAGCUGGAGUCCCUGCCCGCCACGCACAUCAGGGGCAAGUGCAGCGUCACCCUGCUCAACGAGACCGAAUCGCUCAAGUCCUACCUGGAGCGGGAGGAUUUCUUCUUCUAUUCUCUAGUCUACGACCCACAGCAGAAGACCCUGCUGGCAGAUAAAGGAGAGAUUCGAGUAGGAAACCGGUACCAGGCAGACAUCACCGACUUGUUAAAAGAAGGCGAGGAGGAUGGCCGAGACCAGUCCAAGCUGGAGACCAAGGUGUGGGAGGCGCACAACCCACUCACAGAUAAGCAGAUUGACCAGUUCCUGGUAGUGGCCCGCUCCGUGGGCACCUUCGCACGGGCCCUGGACUGCAGCAGCUCCGUCCGACAGCCCAGCCUGCACAUGAGUGCCGCAGCUGCCUCCCGAGACAUCACCCUGUUCCAUGCCAUGGACACUCUCCACAAGAACAUCUACGACAUCUCCAAGGCCAUCUCAGCGCUGGUGCCGCAGGGCGGGCCCGUGCUCUGCAGGGACGAGAUGGAGGAGUGGUCUGCGUCAGAGGCCAACCUUUUCGAGGAAGCCCUGGAAAAAUAUGGGAAGGAUUUCACGGACAUUCAGCAAGAUUUUCUCCCGUGGAAGUCGCUGACCAGCAUCAUUGAAUACUACUACAUGUGGAAGACCACCGACAGAUACGUGCAGCAGAAACGCUUGAAAGCAGCUGAAGCUGAGAGCAAGUUAAAGCAAGUUUAUAUUCCCAACUAUAACAAGCCAAAUCCGAACCAAAUCAGCGUCAACAACGUCAAGGCCGGUGUGGUGAACGGCACGGGAGCACCGGGCCAGAGCCCUGGCGCUGGCCGGGCCUGCGAGAGCUGUUACAUGUCGUCUCUGCGCAUCUUGUUGGACAUAUUGGAAGAAAUAUGGUGGCUUGAAAAUGCCAACCCGGUUAGAUGGAGAGAGGCCAGGACCAAACCGCAGUAACAUGAGUCCCCACGGCCUCCCAGCCCGGAGCAGCGGGAGCCCCAAGUUCGCCAUGAAGACCAGGCAGGCCUUCUAUCUGCACACGACGAAGCUGACACGGAUCGCCCGGCGCCUGUGCCGUGAGAUCCUGCGCCCAUGGCAUGCCGCGCGGCACCCCUACCUGCCCAUCAACAGCGCAGCCAUCAAGGCCGAGUGCACGGCGCGGCUGCCCGAAGCCUCCCAGAGCCCACUGGUGCUGAAGCAGGCGGUGCGCAAGCCGCUGGAAGCCGUGCUCCGGUAUCUUGAGACCCACCCCCGUCCCCCGAAGCCUGACCCCGUGAAGAGUGUGUCCAGCGUGCUCAGCAGCCUGACGCCCGCCAAGGCGGCCCCUGUCAUCAACAACGGCUCCCCCACCAUCCUGGGCAAGCGCAGCUAUGAGCAGCACAACGGGGUGGAUGGCAACAUGAAGAAGCGCCUCUUGAUGCCCAGUAGGGGUCUGGCAAACCACGGACAGACCAGGCACAUGGGACCAAGCCGGAACCUCCUGCUCAACGGGAAGUCCUACCCCACCAAAGUGCGCCUGAUCCGGGGGGGCUCCCUGCCCCCGGUCAAGCGGCGGCGGAUGAACUGGAUCGAUGCCCCGGAUGACGUGUUCUACAUGGCCACCGAGGAGACCAGGAAGAUCCGAAAGCUGCUCUCAUCCUCGGAAACCAAGCGUGCUGCCCGCCGGCCCUACAAGCCCAUCGCCCUGCGCCAGAGCCAGGCCCUGCCGCUGCGGCCGCCACCGCCUGCGCCCGUCAACGACGAGCCCAUUGUCAUCGAGGACUAGGGGCUGCCCCCUCCUGCGGCUGCCCCCCCGCCCCUCGCCCGCCCACGCGGCCCCUUCCCAGCCAGCCCGCCGCCCGCCCCUCAGUUUGGUAGUGCCCCACCUCCCGCCCUCACCUGCAGAGAAACGCGCUCCUUGGCGGACACUGGGGGAGGAGAGGAAGAAGCACGGCUAACUUAUUCCGAGAAUGCCGAGGAGUUGUCGUUUUUAGCUUUGUGUUUACUUUUUGGCUGGAGCGGAGAUGAGGGGCCACCCCGUGCCCCUGUGCUGCGGGGCCUUUUGCCCGGAGGCCGGGCCCUAAGGUUUUGUUGUGUUCUGUUGAAGGUGCCAUUUUAAAUUUUAUUUUUAUUACUUUUUUUGUAGAUGAACUUGAGCUCUGUAACUUACACCUGGAAUGUUAGGAUCGUGCGGCCGCGGCCGGCCGAGCUGCCUGGCGGGGUUGGCCCUUGUCUUUUCAAGUAAUUUUCAUAUUAAACAAAAACAAAGAAAAAAAAUCUUAUAAAAAGGAAAAAACCAA